RNAcentral lists this ribosomal RNA (205 nucleotides) under Paranucleospora theridion. Its description in RNAcentral is "partial small subunit ribosomal RNA". It matches the Rfam family "Microsporidia small subunit ribosomal RNA", at positions 711 to 913 of the family's 1311-position model. Lineage: Eukaryota; Fungi; Microsporidia; Enterocytozoonidae. The record is from RNAcentral.
GUUGAGACGGGGAGGGGAGAAAUCUUAGUUUUCGGGCUCUGGGGAUAGUACGCUUGCAAGAGUGAAACUUAAAGCGAAAUUGACGGAAGAUCACCACAAGGAGUGGAUUGUACUGCUUAAUUUGACUCAACACGGGAAAACUUACCAGGGCCAAGUCUCUCGUAGAUUGGCGACAUGAGAGGGGCAAGAGUGGUGCAUGGCCGUU